UGGUAGAGAUAACAGCAGAGGACAAGAAGAAAGAGCAGAUACAAGUGUUAGGAAGUGACAUCUUGUCAUACAGGCAUUCUCUGGACACUGUCUCCCGGGGUCCUGCUGCUGCUGACGGCCCCUCCCCCUCCCUGCUCCUCUCUGGGUAAGGAAAGGAAGAGAUGGAGGAUAGAAGAUCAGCUGGAGCUGCCAUGAGGGGACAAACAUAGCCCCCUCUGAGGACAGAUUAUAGGAACCCCUAUAUCAGGACACCUAAGGAUAAGAACUAUAUUCCCUCUGGACUCAAAGGCUGAAGUACUCUUAAUCUAACCUCCAUGACAUUAGGGUUUUUUGAUUUGCACCUAUCCAUAUGGAUUGACUAAGCACCACUUAUUGAACUGUAAGACCUUCUACAGGAUGCUAUGGACUUCAAGACUCUUCCCACUGGUCUCCCUCUACCCUUCGGCCUUCUUUUCCUAUUCUCCCCUUGUUCCUUCUGAUGUUAUUGUUUAAAAAUUCUAAAAUGUUAAUAAAAACAUUAUUAAAAAAAAAA
This is a long non-coding RNA of Hyla sarda, 532 nucleotides long. RefSeq lists it as uncharacterized. Lineage: Eukaryota; Metazoa; Chordata; Amphibia; Anura; Hylidae. The transcript is spliced from 2 exons. The record is from RefSeq and is a predicted model, not a curated record.